This 3463-nucleotide ribosomal RNA is filed under the name Triticum aestivum (bread wheat). RNAcentral's name for it is "partial small subunit ribosomal RNA". The record is from RNAcentral. Lineage: Eukaryota; Viridiplantae; Streptophyta; Magnoliopsida; Poales; Poaceae.
GGGAAAAAAAUCUAUCCCAUCAGCCGCCGCACGAGGCAAAUCGCCUACAUGGAAAAAAUCCCUUUUGAAAAAAAAACUAUCCCUUCGGAUCCAUGGCGAUGGCGGAGGGCGGAGACCGGAGGCGAUUGAUUCUAGUUCUGGUCAGAUCCGGUCGACAGGUUUCCCCUGCCGGAUCUUGGCGGCGGCGAGUCCCAUACUUGAUGCUGAAGCCACCCAAACUCUGGUUCGCACAACCGCCCAGUCCAAAAUUGGUGAUGUGGGCGCCGCGGUGGUCACACUACAGUUAGAUUUGAACAUCACUUGUGAGGGGCUGAGUUUGUCGGCGCCCAACUCAGAGGAGUCAAUCGGGAAGGAUGGUCCUCAGGCACCGGGCUGGACGAAGAGGUCCGAGUGAGGCAUACACCUCUUGAACGUCCACUUUGAUGGCAGAAUAAGUGACCUGGAGAAAACAUUGACAGGUUGUGCAUAGAAGAAGACUGACACUGUCGUAGUUCCUACAGUCGGAAACAACUUUGAUUCGCUUGGAGAAGCAUAUGACUAUCACAACAUGUAUUCCUGGGAACUUGGGUUUGGAAUUAGGUACGGAAAAAGCAGACUGAACAUUGAGAGAACAAACUGUAUGCAGGAGAUAGUCUGCGGUUGCUCAGUUAGUACUAUUUUUGAUUCACCGUUGGCAUAACAAAACUGAGCUGAUGUACCAGACUUAUGCUUGUGCCAAGAAAUAAAAAAUCUGACACAUUGUUAUUCGUUACAAACAUUUUGCAGGGUCCAAAGAAGAAGCAACACACGGUCUUGUUGAUGUAGGUGCCCAGCGAUGAUACGGGCUCCGGUUAAAAGACAACGGCUAGUACAUAAGCGAGCACAGGACAUCCCACAAUCACUCUCUUACAGGUAAGUAUGGUGAGAAAGUAUACUGGCCUUCACACAGACAUAUCGAUAUAUAUACACGUGAACUUGUUAAGCAGCUCCGUGAAAAUAAUAUUAGCUUCGGCAAGGUGUACAGUAUAAUUUAUACACUCGAUUGCCAUCAUAAAACGUUCUCUUGGAUAUAGCUUUUCGGCGCCACCAAAAAUUGCCUGUAUUGGUGUCGACGAUCACUCUUAAAAUGAAAAGAAUUGGCAUUCAGAAGAUACUUUUGAGGUGUGUUAAAUUUAUUAGACAGCCCGGUAGGAUGAGGUGUUCUAUUUUACUUGAGUAAGGAUCUGGAGUAUUAGUUGUGUUCUUGCAUGCAGCACCUAUUUUUAGCCUAGACUAUUUAUAGAUUGAGAGUGACAUUCACAUGUGAAUUACUUAAUUCGAUAUGUUACACCUUAAGGACGUACUGAAUUCAGUACUUUUACUUAAUUUGGCUUAUUGACUGACCUUGCAUCAGUACUAUAUUUAGCAUCUCAAGAACACUUGUGUAGUUUCUUGGUUUUAAACUUUUAAUCAGCUUCCAUCCACUUCAAAUGUAGUUAAUUGGCCUUAGUUUUAUCAGCAGUCCAUGGUUAUUUGAUAAUUGUUAAGUCUUAUAAUUGAAGUAGCUUUUGUACAGCAUCGCAGCUCUUGUCACACAUGUUCGCUUGAAAAAGCCCUUUUUUUCCUUUGCCUCAUAUUGGCAUAACCUGAACAGUUCACAAAUAGUUCUCCUUGUUCUUGUUGUUUGCUAGUUCUUGCACAUAUAUUAGAUGACUUCUGAGCUGCCAACAAAGCCAAUUUUUUUGUUGGUUAUUUUCUUGGAGAAUGGAUAAGCUGCAUUCAUUUUGCCAAGUCUUUGCUUGCUUGUUCAUGCAAAGAUCUGUUUGCAUGCUGCAUUCAUGCAUGUCAAGACUUUGAAUUCAUUUAUGUGUCUCUUCUCUUCACACGAAUUAACUUCAACCCUUGUCACGGGUUUGACCUAUGUAGUGUCCAGAAAAAAGAUGCCUCACAUUUGUCAUGGGUUUGAUCUGAUGUUUGGUAUAUGAGGCCAUGAACUGAGAUUCCAUUAUUAUUUUUUACUGCUGUUUCCUUUAAUUUUUCGUUUCUUACAAGAAUUUUAGUAUUUGACACUAUGUUUCAGUUCGCGAUGAUUAGAGAAGAUGGUGGAGGAGGCUGCUAGGCUUGCCAACGUGAUGAGAAAGGAACUAAUUAACUCUUAGUUUACUUGAGCUUCUUGCAGAGUGAGUUCUGUUUUCGCGACUAGUUUUGCCACAAUAAAUCCAAGAAUGAACAUUGGGCCCACAUGAAAGCCCAUUUGUUGUUCCUGUAAAACAUAUUCCUUUUUUAUCAUUCACAGAUUCUCCUUGGUUUGCUCUUCGAGUAGAUCAUUCUUUCUCAUGCCGGAAAAUUUAAAUGCCUACUACUACCAUAUUUGUGAAAUGUCUUAAUGUUGUUGUGCUAUAUUUACGAAAUAUUAUACAUCAGAUUGUGCUUAAUACCGCUACAGUUGGAAAAUGUUCGAUGAGCAGUUUCACAUAUGACCAGUUUGAAUGGUUAUACUCAGCUGGGAUUAACCAAAUAGUUAAUCAAUAGCAGGGAUUGCAGGGUUGCUAGGUUGACAAGUAGGGGAUCAACCCAAUCACUGGGUGGAUUAAUUCCACUAGGGGACUGGUUCCCCUAUAACCAAACAAGACCUAUGGUUGCCCUGCAUCUGGUGGAACAUUGUAACAAAGUGGACUUUGCCUUAAACGCGUUGGUAAGUUUCAGAAGUGGUGUUCAUCGUCCUGCACAGUUGGCUUUUCCUGUAGGGUAGGACCGGUGAUGAAAGCGAACACGCCAUUGGAGCAGCAUGCGAGUGAGGUGUACACUAGUGCCCAUGUUAGAGAAGCUUGGCGAGAUACUGUACGAAGCAGGGCAGUACAAGGUUGAACCAGUUUAGCAACGCGUGAAGUACCUAGUGCAGCGGCACCAUCCGGAGAGGCUUGACAAAAUGGUGCAAGGUGGUGUAUGAGGUCACCGUUGAUGGAGGGGUGAUCGGUUUCUAUGCGAGUGUGGCAACUUUGAGCACACGAAAAUGUUGUUCUGUCAUUCACUGAAGGUGCAUAAAAUUUGUUCAAUUGCUUCAUGCCUGUGGUGACGGUGUUUAAUGGAUCAACAUGCGGCAUCUCAAUUAAUGAUGCUAUUCUGGCGCAAGUCAUGGAUUUUAUGGGAGUCACGGAAUCACACCAGACAGGGGUGACAUACCGAAGAAACUGAGGAGGUAGCUGAAAUGCACCAACUGUGGUGUAUGUUGGUCACCGUCGAAAUACGUGUAGAAACCCAAGUAUGGUGCUUCAUGCAGUGCCUCCUACUGAAACAGCAAUCCGGCUGGAGGGGGCAGUUAGGUAGUUAGCUUUGUUUCUAGUGUUGCAUCCAAUUUGUACAAUUUGAUGUUGUCUUGUGAGCUAGUAGGAUUUUCCUAAACCUGUGUACAUUUUACGUAACCGUGUGUCACACGGGAAAUAAGCCACCCCUCGGUGUGGUGAAGUAUUGUGAAAAAUGAUGAUUUGUUAACAAGGCAUGUUCC